This 76-nucleotide transfer RNA is filed under the name Anaerolineae bacterium. RNAcentral describes it as "tRNA-Lys". It matches the Rfam family "tRNA". Rfam says of the family: Transfer RNA (tRNA) molecules are approximately 80 nucleotides in length. Their secondary structure includes four short double-helical elements and three loops (D, anti-codon, and T loops). Lineage: Bacteria; Bacillati; Chloroflexota; Anaerolineae. The record is from RNAcentral.
GGGCCGCUAGCUCAAUUGGCAGAGCAACUGACUCUUAAUCAGUAGGUUACAGGUUCGAUUCCUGUGCGGCUCACCA